RNAcentral lists this ribosomal RNA (440 nucleotides) under uncultured bacterium. RNAcentral describes it as "partial 16S ribosomal RNA". It matches the Rfam family "Bacterial small subunit ribosomal RNA", at positions 338 to 795 of the family's 1533-position model. The record is from RNAcentral.
CCUACGGGAGGCAGCAGUGGGGAAUAUUGCACAAUGGGGGAAACCCUGAUGCAGCGACGCCGCGUGAGUGAAGACGUCUUUCGGUAUGUAAAGCUCUAUCAGCAGGGAAGAAGAAAGACGGUACCUGACUAAGAAGCCCCGGCUAACUACGUGCCAGCAGCCGCGGUAAUACGUAGGGGGCAAGCGUUAUCCGGAAUUACUGGGUGUAAAGGGAGCGUAGACGGCUGUGCAAGUCUGAAGUGAAAGGCCAGGGCUCAACCCUGGGACUGCUUUGGAAACUGUGGAGCUAGAGUGCUGGAGAGGUAAGUGGAAUUCCUAGUGUAGCGGUGAAAUGCGUAGAUAUUAGGAGGAACACGAGUGGCGAAGGCGGCUUACUGGACAGUAACUGACGUUGAGGCUCGAAAGCGUGGGGAGCAAACAGGAUUAGAUACCCUGUAGUC